AACGAACGCUGGCGGCAUGCCUAACACAUGCAAGUCGAACGAGACCUUCGGGUCUAGUGGCGCACGGGUGCGUAACGCGUGGGAACCUGCCCUUAGGUUCGGAAUAACUCCCCGAAAGGGGUGCUAAUACCGGAUAAUGUCUUCGGACCAAAGAUUUAUCGCCUUUGGAUGGGCCCGCGUUGGAUUAGCUAGUUGGUAGGGUAAAAGCCUACCAAGGCGACGAUCCAUAGCUGGUCUGAGAGGAUGAUCAGCCACACUGGGACUGAGACACGGCCCAGACUCCUACGGGAGGCAGCAGUGGGGAAUAUGAGACGAUGGGCGAAAGCCUGAUCCAGCAAUGCCGCGUGAGUGAUGAAGGCCUUAGGGUUGUAAAGCUCUUUUACCCGGGAUGAUAAUGACAGUACCGGGAGAAUAAGCUCCGGCUAACUCCGUG
Molecule: ribosomal RNA, 433 nt
Filed under: uncultured bacterium
Lineage: Bacteria
Description: partial 16S ribosomal RNA
Rfam family: Bacterial small subunit ribosomal RNA
Source: RNAcentral